This 499-nucleotide ribosomal RNA is filed under the name uncultured bacterium. Its description in RNAcentral is "partial 16S ribosomal RNA". It matches the Rfam family "Bacterial small subunit ribosomal RNA", at positions 28 to 507 of the family's 1533-position model. The record is from RNAcentral.
GACGAACGCCGGCGGCGUGCCUAAUACAUGCAAGUCGAGCGAAGUUUUUCUGGUGCUUGCACUAGAAAAACUUAGCGGCGAACGGGUGAGUAACACGUAAAGAACCUGCCUCAUAGACUGGGACAACUAUUGGAAACGAUAGCUAAUACCGGAUAACAGCAUUAACUGCAUGGUUGAUGUUUAAAAGUUGGUUUUGCUAACACUAUGAGAUGGCUUUGCGGUGCAUUAGCUAGUUGGUGGGGUAAAGGCCUACCAAGGCGACGAUGCAUAGCCGACCUGAGAGGGUGAUCGGCCACACUGGGACUGAGACACGGCCCAGACUCCUACGGGAGGCAGCAGUAGGGAAUCUUCCGCAAUGGGCGAAAGCCUGACGGAGCAACGCCGCGUGAGUGAAGAAGGAUUUCGGUUCGUAAAGCUCUGUUGUUAGGGAAGAAUGAUUGUGUAGUAACUAUACACAGUAGAGACGGUACCUAACCAGAAAGCCACGGCUAACUACGUG